GAUGAACGCUGGCGGCGUGCCUAAUACAUGCAAGUCGAGCGAACGGACGAGAAGCUUGCUUCUCUGAUGUUAGCGGCGGACGGGUGAGUAACACGUGGAUAACCUACCUAUAAGACUGGGAUAACUUCGGGAAACCGGAGCUAAUACCGGAUAAUAUUUUCAACCGCAUGGUUCAAAAGUGAAAGGCGGUCUUGCUGUCACUUAUAGAUGGAUCCGCGCUGCAUUAGCUAGUUGGUAAGGUAACGGCUUACCAAGGCAACGAUGCAUAGCCGACCUGAGAGGGUGAUCGGCCACACUGGAACUGAGACACGGUCCAGACUCCUACGGGAGGCAGCAGUAGGGAAUCUUCCGCAAUGGGCGAAAGCCUGACGGAGCAACGCCGCGUGAGUGAUGAAGGUCUUCGGAUCGUAAAACUCUGUUAUUAGGGAAGAACAUAUGUGUAAGUAACUGUGCACAUCUUGACGGUACCUAAUCAGAAAGCCACGGCUAACUACGUG
Molecule: ribosomal RNA, 497 nt
Filed under: uncultured bacterium
Lineage: Bacteria
Description: partial 16S ribosomal RNA
Rfam family: Bacterial small subunit ribosomal RNA
Source: RNAcentral